GACGAAGGGGGCUAGCGUUGUUCGGAAUUACUGGGCGUAAAGCGCACGUAGGCGGAUCGUUAAGUUGGGGGUGAAAUCCUGGAGCUCAACUCCAGAACUGCCUUCAAUACUGGCGAUCUAGAGUCCGGAAGAGGUGAGUGGAACUCCUAGUGUAGAGGUGGAAUUCGUAGAUAUUAGGAAGAACACCAGUGGCGAAGGCGGCUCACUGGUCCGGUACUGACGCUGAGGUGCGAAAGCGUGGGGAGCAAACAGG
Molecule: ribosomal RNA, 253 nt
Filed under: uncultured bacterium
Lineage: Bacteria
Description: partial 16S ribosomal RNA
Rfam family: Bacterial small subunit ribosomal RNA
Source: RNAcentral